Molecule: ribosomal RNA, 701 nt
Filed under: uncultured Alphaproteobacteria bacterium
Lineage: Bacteria; Pseudomonadati; Pseudomonadota; Alphaproteobacteria
Description: bacterial SSU rRNA
Rfam family: Bacterial small subunit ribosomal RNA
Source: RNAcentral
CCGCGGGAUUAGAGUUUGAUCCUGGCUCAGAGCGAACGCUGGCGGCAGGCUUAACACAUGCAAGUCGAGCGGGCACUUCGGUGUCAGCGGCGGACAGGUGAGUAACGCGUGGGAACGUGCCCUCUGGUUCGGAAUAACUCAGGGAAACUUGAGCUAAUACCGGAUACGCCCUUUUGGGGAAAGGCUUGCUGCCGGAGGAUCGGCCCGCGUCUGAUUAGCUAGUUGGUGAGGUAACGGCUCACCAAGGCGACGAUCAGUAGCUGGUCUGAGAGGAUGAUCAGCCACACUGGGACUGAGACACGGCCCAGACUCCUACGGGAGGCAGCAGUGGGGAAUAUUGGACAAUGGGCGCAAGCCUGAUCCAGCCAUGCCGCGUGAGUGAUGAAAGCCUUACGGUUGUAAAGCUCUUUUAUCCGGGACGAUAAUGACGGUACCGGGUGGAAUAAGCCCCGGCUAACUUCGUGCCAGCAGCCGCGGUAAUACGAAGGGGGCUAGCGUUGCUCGGAAUCACUGGGCGUAAAGGGCGCGUAGGCGGCGUUUUAAGUCGGGGGUGAAAGCCUGUGGCUCAACCACAGAAUGGCCUUCGAUACUGGGACGCUUGAGUAUGGUAGAGGUUGGUGGAACUGCGAGUGUAGAGGUGAAAUUCGUAGAUAUUCGCAAGAACACCGGUGGCGAAGGCGGCCAACUGGACCAUUACUGAC